UACGUAGGCAGCGAGCGUUGUUCGGAGUUACUGGGCGUAAAGCGUGCGUAGGCGGUGUCUUAAGUUUGUUGUGAAAUCUCCCGGCUUAACCGGGAGGGUGCGGCGAAUACUGAGAUGCUGGAGUGCGGGAGAGGUAAGCGGAAUUCCUGGUGUAGCGGUGAAAUGCGUAGAUAUCAGGAGGAACACCUGCGGUGUAGACGGCUUACUGGACCGUAACUGACGCUGAGGCACGAAAGCGUGGGUAGCAAACAGGAUUAGAUACCCUGUAGUCC
This 272-nucleotide ribosomal RNA is filed under the name uncultured prokaryote. Its description in RNAcentral is "partial 16S ribosomal RNA". It matches the Rfam family "Bacterial small subunit ribosomal RNA", at positions 524 to 796 of the family's 1533-position model. The record is from RNAcentral.